GGGCCGUUAGCUCAGUUGGUAGAGCAUCUGACUUUUAAUCAGAGGGUCGCAGAUUCGAGCUCUGCACGGCUCACCA
Molecule: transfer RNA, 76 nt
Filed under: Deltaproteobacteria bacterium
Lineage: Bacteria; Pseudomonadati; Myxococcota; Myxococcia
Description: tRNA-Lys
Rfam family: tRNA
About the family: Transfer RNA (tRNA) molecules are approximately 80 nucleotides in length. Their secondary structure includes four short double-helical elements and three loops (D, anti-codon, and T loops).
Source: RNAcentral